AGGCUUAACACAUGCAAGUGGAACGCCCCGCAAGGGGAGUGGCACACGGGUGAGUAACACGUGGGAACGUACCCUUUUCUACGGAAUAACCCAGGGAAACUUGGACUAAUACCGUAUGUGCCCUUCGGGGGAAAGAUUUAUCGGAAAAGGAUCGGCCCGCGUUGGAUUAGCUAGUUGGUGGGGUAAAGGCCUACCAAGGCGACGAUCCAUAGCUGGUCUGAGAGGAUGAUCAGCCACAUUGGGACUGAGACACGGCCCAA
This 260-nucleotide ribosomal RNA is filed under the name Rhizobiales bacterium KJ17. RNAcentral describes it as "partial 16S ribosomal RNA". It matches the Rfam family "Bacterial small subunit ribosomal RNA", at positions 46 to 334 of the family's 1533-position model. Lineage: Bacteria; Pseudomonadati; Pseudomonadota; Alphaproteobacteria; Hyphomicrobiales. The record is from RNAcentral.